Molecule: long non-coding RNA, 2761 nt
Filed under: Malus domestica (apple)
Lineage: Eukaryota; Viridiplantae; Streptophyta; Magnoliopsida; Rosales; Rosaceae
Description: long non-coding RNA (MDOM_LNC021252)
Source: RNAcentral
UUAUGCAAAGAGGAAUCUACAAAGGUAUAAAUUUCUCAACUUACUUUGAUUUGAGUUGAGUCUUGGUUCACCAAUCUACUAGGCUUUGAAUUUCAUGGGUAAUGUUUUGUUUUGGAAUGCAUGCAAGCAUGAUUCCGCCUUUUAAUUGUUAAAUGCAUGCUAUAGAUGUUAUUCAAAUGAACAUGUUUUUCACAAAAUCAUCCUUCAAGUGGUAUCAGAGCCUAGGUCUAGUAGUUGGUGAAUCCUUUUGGGUUUUUGUGGGUUCAUAUAGUUUGUGAUUUAAAAGUUGUAAUAUGUUACAAGCUUUAUUCUUGUUUCUUUGAAUGUAAAUUUUGUUAGAAAAUUUGCCAUCUCAAAUGUUGUAGAUGUAGUUCUUAUGAGCAUGAAUAUUGGAGCUAAAAUUUGGUGCCAUGUUUUUGGGAAUUUGCGGCCAAAUCCAAAGGGUGGAUUUUUGGGUUCUUGUUUGACUUGUUAAAAGUGUUUUCAAGUAACUUUUGGAACCCCUAUGUACCCUAGUUUGGUUAUAUGUUAUUUCCCUAAAGUUUGAAUGGUUUUGGGAUGUUUUUGGAGUAAAAAUGUUCAUGGAAUUUUUUUGGGUUUUUCAUGAAUGUUCUUCAUUGUUCUUAACAUUUUUGCCAAGAACAAAAAGGUUUUGUGUUUUGAUUCAAAGUUUUGAUUUAUUUCAUAAAGUUUAUGUUUUAUGUUUUUCAAAUGAUUUAAUGUGUUAGAUAUUUGUUUAAAUGGUGGUAGAAAUAAUGGUGGGUGUGAAAGGAUUAAUUCCCUUUCACACACACCACUUGCACCACUUGCAUGCUUUAUGUCAAAACUCACAAAUCAACACACACAUCACUCUAAUCCUUCUCCAAAACCGGCCCUCCCUCAAGUGGGAGUACUUUUGGGGCUUUUAUGCAAUUACAUAAAGUUUUGAUACUUUUGUGUAUUUGCACUUUGGCCCAAAAGUUUACGUUUUUACGUUUAGGACCAAAAACGCUAAAGGACAAAUUGUUUUGCUCCUUUAAUGAAGUUUUUACAUUGUUUAAAUUUUGGGUUCUUGUUGUAAUUACAUGAAGUAGUGGACUUUUGUGUUUUUACAAAGUGACCCCAAAAGUUUGUGUUUUUGCAAUAUAGCCCAAAUGUUGUGGUAAUUGCAUAUUGGCCCAAAUUAGGUUGAGAACAAAAUUGUUUUGUCUCUUUAAAUGAGAAUUGGAUUUUCAUUUCAUUUAGCUCCAUUUAAAUCAAUUUUAUGGAUACAAAAACCAAAUGAAAAUGUUGCAUUCAAUUUAAUUAGUUAAAGUGCUAAUUAAUUAAAGGGUGAUUAUGAACCUAAGCCUACGAUAAUUGAGCUAUGUGAAAGGCCGUUUCAAAUUUGUUUGAACCAUGGGAAUGUGUAGAUUAGAUUUUGGUUGUAAUUUGAUUUGAUCAAAUGUUGUAAAAGAGCAUAAGCUCUUCUUUACUUUAAAGUAAUUUGUUUUAUGCAAAUGUUGUAAUGAGCAUAAGCUCACCUUUACUUUGAAGUACUUCUUUCUUGCUUUAUUUGAUAUGCAUGAAAAUGAAGUAGUUGGGUCCAACGCCCCUAAGACAACACGCCUUAAUGUGAUUAAACGCGUAACUAAAAUCAAUCACCAUCCCUAGACCGAGAUUCAACACUAGGCUCGUGUUGAAUCUAAACAAAGGUUCAUAGUCAUCCUAAGGCCCUAAGGCAACUAUAUAGUCCAUCAAUGAAUGCAAACCUUAUGUUAGUAGUAUCAUAUACGCUUGCUUUAAAAACCGUUUUAUAAGCAUAGUGGGAGUAUUAUAUACAACUAAAAAUAAUCAAAUGGACCAAUAGUUGUAAUAGGACCAAAAUUGUUUUAAUAAAGAUUAAAAUGAAUAUUUAUAUGUGAUGAGACCUAAAACCCUAAACCAAACCAUUAUUAAGUUGAUAAGCGUGAGAGUGCUUUGGCACUCUUUCGUGGCCUUCCACCGUGGUAGGCUCCAAUCGUUUAUGACUUGUACACCGCCUUCACCCUAUCAUGGGGGAGUGCAAAGUGCAUGCUUAUACUCAGGAGGAGUCUAUAUACAUACUUGAUGAGGUGAAUGUAGGCAACGAGGAUGGCCAACAUCAUAUCAUUGUGAGGCUAUUCUUGAACCCCUUCACAAACUAAGCAUGGUGGGAAUGACUUAACUAAGUGCAAUGGAGCCAACAUCAUAUCAUUGUGAGGCGACAUUCUCUAGAGGCCAAAUAAGAUGGGUACUUGCAAGUGAUGCAAAUGAGUAAGCGUACUCUCUCAUUAUUAUUAAUGCUAGCCAACAUCAUAUUAUUGUGAGGUGGGCUUGGUAGUAGUCAGUCUCCCAUACCCUACUAAGAGUUUCAUCCAAAACUCUCGAAUUCCAAUGAGGGAUAUGGAAUUUGCCAAAAAUAGUGGGUGGUGCUAUUUGAUUUAAAGACCCGAAUCAAAUGGCUUAAAAUCAAUCAAUUUAUAUUCGUUAUGUAUUUACUUACCAUUAUAUUUGCAAACGCUAUCCCACACUUGACAAAUAAAAGCCGAAAGUUUAGUUUCCGGACUUGGUACUACAAAACCAUAGAUUGUCUUUAAAUGACUUGUAAAUAUACCUAAGUAGUCUCAUCCUCACAAUCUUCCUAUUGAUAAUGUAUCAUUGGAAGAACAUGUUAGAUAAAGUCUAUCAUAAAGAGGACAACACUUUUAAAUGUCAUAAUUCUUCAAUUACAAUUUGUUGUAUGAAGAAAUAAGAGUUGCUUUGAACAACCCUUAAUCAAUGC